GCCUCCGUGGAUUAGCGGAAGAUCACCCUGGCGUUAUAUAGCCCAGAUAUCGAAAGCCUUGCAGGGAGACGUGGGUUCGAACCCCGCCGGAGGCA
Non-coding RNA from Mycena latifolia, 95 nucleotides. The record is from the annotation of a GenBank genome assembly. Lineage: Eukaryota; Fungi; Basidiomycota; Agaricomycetes; Agaricales; Mycenaceae.